UACUCCUGUUUCUGCCCCGGAGUUUCGUCCCAUAAGCUACUGGGUUCUGGUGAUGGAGAAGAUCAAGCUGGCAAUUAUUCCAUACGAUUUGAUACUUCUGUGGAAAUAAUCGUCGGAUCGUGAAGACAGUUUGAAUCUGGCCAGGACACUGCUGGUCAGAUAUAGAGCUCUUCUACAUUU
RNAcentral lists this small nucleolar RNA (180 nucleotides) under Blastobotrys adeninivorans. RNAcentral's name for it is "snR43". It matches the Rfam family "Small nucleolar RNA snR43". Lineage: Eukaryota; Fungi; Ascomycota; Dipodascomycetes; Dipodascales; Trichomonascaceae. The record is from RNAcentral.